GGCUACAAUCUUAGUGCCACAACAGAUCCAGCUGGUUCGAUGUUUCAUACCAAAUAAAAAAAAAAGGUCUAUGAGCCACAACAACUUGAUAAAAGGUGAAAAAUAAAUCUCUUAGUCCCAGCACAAGGGCCAGAAUAGAUAUGCCCCCAUUGUAGAAAGAACCGUGGUAGCAGACUGUGCUACAAGUUGAUAAAUGGAUGCUUCAAAUGUGACAGUACUCAACAUCGGAUCAAAGAGUGUCUUAUCAACAAAGAGUAGACCAUACCAAUAACUU
Molecule: long non-coding RNA, 274 nt
Filed under: Carica papaya (papaya)
Lineage: Eukaryota; Viridiplantae; Streptophyta; Magnoliopsida; Brassicales; Caricaceae
Description: long non-coding RNA (CPAP_LNC002678)
Source: RNAcentral